AGAGUUUGAUCCUGGCUCAGAAUCAACGCUGGCGGCGUGCCUCAGACAUGCAAGUCGAACGCGAAAGGCCCCUUCGGGGGCCGAGUAGAGUGGCGCACGGGUGAGUAACACGUAGGUAAUCUACCUCUGGGUGGGGAAUAACAGCCGGAAACGGCUGCUAAUACCGCAUAACGCAGCGGCACCACAUGGUGACAGUUGUUAAAGCGGGGGAUCGUAAGACCUCGCGCCUGGAGAGGAGCCUGCGGCGGAUUAGCUAGUUGGUGGGGUAAUGGCUCACCAAGGCAACGAUCCGUAGCCGGCCUGAGAGGGCGGUCGGCCACACUGGCACUGACAUACGGGCCAGACUCCUACGGGAGGCAGCAGUCGGGAAUUUUGGGCAAUGGGCGAAAGCCUGACCCAGCAACGCCGCGUGGAGGAUGAAGUUUUUCGGAAUGUAAACUCCGUAAGAAUGGGAAGAAUAAGGGAGGGUCAAUACCCCUUCUGAUGACGGUACCAUUCGUAAGCUCCGGCUAACUCCGUGCCAGCAGCCGCGGUAAUACGGGGGGAGCAAGCGUUGUUCGGAUUUACUGGGCGUAAAGGGCGCGUAGGCGGCGCAACAAGUCACUUGUGAAAUCUCCGGGCUUAACCCGGAGCGGCCAAGUGAUACUGUCGUGCUAGAGUGCAGAAGGGGCGACUGGAAUUCUCGGUGUAGCGGUGAAAUGCGUAGAUAUCGAGAGGAACACCUGUGGCGAAGGCGGGUCGCUGGGCUGACACUGACGCUGAGGCGCGAAAGCUAGGGGAGCGAACGGGAUUAGAUACCCCGGUAGUCC
This 809-nucleotide ribosomal RNA is filed under the name uncultured Acidobacteriota bacterium. Its description in RNAcentral is "bacterial SSU rRNA". It matches the Rfam family "Bacterial small subunit ribosomal RNA", at positions 8 to 796 of the family's 1533-position model. The record is from RNAcentral. Lineage: Bacteria; Pseudomonadati; Acidobacteriota.